Molecule: long non-coding RNA, 332 nt
Filed under: Setaria viridis
Lineage: Eukaryota; Viridiplantae; Streptophyta; Magnoliopsida; Poales; Poaceae
Description: long non-coding RNA (SVIR_LNC001006)
Source: RNAcentral
GGUGAUAGAGGAAGAGGAGGACGAAGAUGAUUUUCAUUUGAUUGUUGAUGAUGACGACUUGGAGGUACUGGAGUCGUUCAAGCUCGAGAAUGCUAGACCCUCUCGUCGUAGACGUCGUUUCGAUGGUCCCCAAAGCAGAUACGACAAAGGGAUCAUGCGGUCGGGGAUGCGAGGAUCCAUGAUGACUACUUUGGUCCCAAUCCUAUUUACUUGGCGUUCCAGUUCCGUCGACGGUGUGUUUCUAUAAUCUGAUAGUCAUGGAUUGCUUCAUGUGCUACUUUGCAGUACAUUGACAUAUCUUAUCUUUGUAUGCAGGUUUUGAAUGCGCGUCC